This 274-nucleotide ribosomal RNA is filed under the name uncultured bacterium. Its description in RNAcentral is "partial 16S ribosomal RNA". It matches the Rfam family "Bacterial small subunit ribosomal RNA", at positions 523 to 796 of the family's 1533-position model. The record is from RNAcentral.
AUACGGAGGGUGCAAGCGUUAAUCGGAAUUACUGGGCGUAAAGCGUACGUAGGCGGUUUAUUAAGUCAGAUGUGAAAGCCCCGGGCUUAACCUGGGAACUGCAUUGGAAACUAGUAGACUAGAGUAUGGUAGAGGGGGGUAGAAUUCCUAGUGUAGCGGUGAAAUGCGUAGAUAUUAGGAGGAAUACCAGUGGCGAAGGCGGCCCCCUGGACCAAUACUGACGCUGAGGUACGAAAGCGUGGGGAGCGAACAGGAUUAGAUACCCGAGUAGUCC